This 387-nucleotide ribosomal RNA is filed under the name Dysaphis rumecicola. Its description in RNAcentral is "partial 12S ribosomal RNA". Lineage: Eukaryota; Metazoa; Arthropoda; Insecta; Hemiptera; Aphididae. The record is from RNAcentral.
AUUUUAGUCUUAUUAGAGGAACCUGUUUUUUAAUUGAUAAUCCACGAUUAAUUUUACUUAUUUUUGUAAUUCAUAUAUCGCUGUCAUGAAUAUAUUAAAAAAUUUAUUUUCUUUAUUUAUUUUUAUAAUUUAUGUUAAGUCAAGAUGUGGUUUAUAAAUAAGUUUAUAAUGGGUUACAAUAAAUUUUAUUUAUGGAUUUUAAAUGAAAAUUAAAAUGAAAUUGGAUUUAAUAGUAAAUUUAAUUAUUUAGUUAAUAUGAAGAAAGAUCUAAAAUAUGUACAUAUUGCCCGUCAUUCUUAUUAAAAAUAAGACAAGUCGUAACAAAGUAAAUGUACUGGAAAGUGUAUUUAGAAAGAUUUAUAAUUAUAAAUAAAUAUCUAAAUUUAA